This is a long non-coding RNA of Gopherus flavomarginatus (Mexican gopher tortoise), 718 nucleotides long. RefSeq lists it as uncharacterized. Lineage: Eukaryota; Metazoa; Chordata; Testudines; Testudinidae. The record is from RefSeq and is a predicted model, not a curated record. The transcript has 4 exons.
GCUAAGUUACUUCUGACAGGAAUGAGCUAGCAGGGGCAGAGAUGGGGUUGAGAUCUACAGAGGUACUUAGAUGCCUAAACCUGAGAUGUAGGCACCUAAAUUCCAGUUUUAGGUACCAAUGGCAUCCACAGAACUCCUGCUCAGCUGCUGCCUAGCUCUGUAGGUGCCCAAACUCACUCAACGCCUAAGUGUUUGCCUCUGAGCACAUACACUGCUGCCUCCCUCUAGGUGUUCAGAUGCCCACCUCUCACCUAAGCCCCAGAGCAGUCCACAGACGGCUGGAAGACAGGCAGAGAAGUGCCGUUCUCAUCCAUGGGGCCCAAUCUGGUUACUGGCCUAGUGAAUAGCUGAGAAGAUGUGAUAUAUCUUGAUUUUAGUCAUGCUUCUGAUGCAGUCUCACGUGACAUUCUCAUAAGCGAACUAGGGAAAUGUGGUCUAGAUAAAAUUACUAUAAGUAGCACCCAGAAACUUCAAUCAAGAUUGAGGCCCCCUUUGUGUGACGAACUGUACACACACGUGAGAAAAAGAUGUUCCUUCCCCAAAGAGCUUACUAUAUAUGAGGACAGACAUCAUCCUGAUACACCCAGCAGAUGGGGGCAGCAUAAGCUAAGAGUUACAAGAAGAACUUGUCUUGUGAUCAGAAGCCAUUUUCAGGGAAGUAACAGUCUUCUCUCUUGUUGAAUGGGAUAAGAGGUGGGCGUAAGAUGGACGUUCUCUA